AUACUUACUUGGCAGGGGAGAUACCAUGAUCACAAAGGUGGUUUCCCCACGUGAGGCUUAUCCAUUGCACUCCAGAUGUGCUGACCCCUGCGAUUUCCCCAAAUGUGGGAAACGCGACUGCAUAAUUUGUGGUAGUGGGGGACUGCAUUUGCACUAAAAAAAAAGUUACAGACUUUUA
RNAcentral lists this small nuclear RNA (178 nucleotides) under Castor canadensis (American beaver). RNAcentral describes it as "U1 spliceosomal RNA (ENSCCNG00000018290.1)". The stretch from base 1 to 156 matches the Rfam family "U1 spliceosomal RNA". From Rfam's summary of the family: U1 is a small nuclear RNA (snRNA) component of the spliceosome (involved in pre-mRNA splicing). Its 5' end forms complementary base pairs with the 5' splice junction, thus defining the 5' donor site of an intron. The record is from RNAcentral. Lineage: Eukaryota; Metazoa; Chordata; Mammalia; Rodentia; Castoridae.